UUAAAUUGAAGAGUUUGAUCAUGGCUCAGAUUGAACGCUGGCGGCAGGCCUAACACAUGCAAGUCGAACGGUAACAGGAAGCAGCUUGCUGCUUCGCUGACGAGUGGCGGACGGGUGAGUAAUGUCUGGGAAACUGCCUGAUGGAGGGGGAUAACUACUGGAAACGGUAGCUAAUACCGCAUAAUGUCGCAGGACCAAAGAGGGGGACCUUCGGGCCUCUUGCCAUCAGAUGUGCCCAGAUGGGAUUAGCUUGUUGGUGAGGUAACGGCUCGACCAAGGCGACGAUCCCGUAGGCUGGUCUGAGAGGAUGACCAGCCACACUGGAACUGAGACACGGUCCAGACUCCUACGGGAGGCAGCAGUGGGGAAUAUUGGCACAAGUGGCGCAAGCCUGAUGCAGCCAUGCCGCGUGAUGA
RNAcentral lists this ribosomal RNA (416 nucleotides) under Salmonella enterica subsp. arizonae serovar 63:g,z51:- str. So 20/20. RNAcentral describes it as "bacterial SSU rRNA". It matches the Rfam family "Bacterial small subunit ribosomal RNA", at positions 1 to 407 of the family's 1533-position model. Lineage: Bacteria; Pseudomonadati; Pseudomonadota; Gammaproteobacteria; Enterobacterales; Enterobacteriaceae. The record is from RNAcentral.